This 107-nucleotide ribosomal RNA is filed under the name uncultured bacterium. RNAcentral describes it as "partial 16S ribosomal RNA". It matches the Rfam family "Bacterial small subunit ribosomal RNA", at positions 1378 to 1482 of the family's 1533-position model. The record is from RNAcentral.
CCGUUGUACACACCGCCCGUCACACCAUGGGAGUGGGUUUCACCAGAAGUAGGUAGCUUAACCCUUCGGGGAGGGCGCUUACCACGGUGAGAUUCAUGACUGGGGUG